This 1658-nucleotide long non-coding RNA is filed under the name Medicago truncatula (barrel medic). Its description in RNAcentral is "long non-coding RNA (MTRU_LNC005226)". The record is from RNAcentral. Lineage: Eukaryota; Viridiplantae; Streptophyta; Magnoliopsida; Fabales; Fabaceae.
CUAGCACUACUCAAACUAAAAUCGUCUAAAGUCUCACCUUAAUGUAUUUUUUGUGCUUUUCGUAUUAAAGAUGUUUUAGUUUGAUAGAGAAACCAAAUAUUCAUUCAAGGUUUUGGUGGAAAUUCGCGCCGGUUGUAUUUUUGGCACCGUUGUUCGAUAACAGGAGUAAAAGAUUAUAUAGUUGGAAGAGUAAAAAUCUUUUAAUGGAUGGUCGUCUUGUUCUUCUCAAAUAUGUCUUGCGUCUCUUAUAGUUUAUUUGUUUUCCUUUUCCAAGCUCCCACAAGAAGGAUAUUCACAAUUGUUUUCAAAUGAUUUGGAUGACUUUCAUUUAGAUUAUUUGGAAGGAGCAGAAUCUCAUGAAUUUUCUUAAUAAAGAGUUGUCUUUUGCUCAGAUUGUUGAUAGAGAAAAACUUCAUUCAUGGCGGUCUAAGGUGUACAUGUCUAGUUUAGCUUUUGAUCUCCAUGCUUGGUUGAGUAACGUGUCACUUUGUAUUAGUUAUUUUAACGGGUAAUGUUGCUUGUUGGCUUUUAAAUCUUCUUUUCCUUUAAAGUUAUUUCUUGUAAACUAUGACCUUGUUUUGAUAGCUUAGAAGACACAUCUUAUACUUAAAUCGGUAUCAUCACUUUCUUCUUUAUUUUAUUCCAUUUGGCUUUUUAUAAAAAAAAAUAAAAAUUGUGAAGUGUUAUUAUCUCAUUCUAUUCCCUUUUAUAGUCCCUUACUCAAUGCUCUCUUUCCUUUCUAUCUAAUCUAAAUUCCUAUAAUUGCUAAACCAAACAUAUAUUUUUUCUUUGUUUAAAAAUCAAACAAACUUUUACAUGAGUUGUUUAUGACAGUAUAAUUGUCCAAACCAGCAAAUUGUGUGUGUAGAGGAGUAUGGACGAUGACUAGGACUUAGUGGGUGACAAGUGAGAUCCACUAGCCCAUAGAUUUAGGUGGAGGUGUGAGUGAUAAAGUGAAAAUUGGAUCCUUAUAAUGUGAGUAAAUUAACCCGAGGGAGAGGGAAUGAGAGAUCAACAUGACAGAAUUUCAGAAAAAGUAUAAAAACAAAUGUAAAUUUAACUUUAGAAUACCAACAGGAUACAGUAGUAGUAUUGUGCUCUACUAAUACAAACAUGCAUCAAAAGAUCAACAUAAAAUAUGAAUAUGUUAUUUAAUUUUAAAUGUUUAAUAGAUUAUAGAUGAAUGCACUUCAUCGACAGAACCUUUACAAUUUGCAACUUACCUAGAAAUUUCUAUUUACAUAAACACUUAAACUUGAUACACUUCGGAACUGUAGGCUUAAUACAAAAAUAAGGUGGACAAUCAGAGUUCUGGCGGCAUUCGGGCUUACGUACGGCUCCCGUUACAACAAGAAGUAGUGAAAUAAAUAGGAUAGUAAUAUAUACAAACUUGGGAAUUGUAUUCAUAUUUUUCUCAUUAACUUGUAAUAAGAUUGAAAAUUACUUGUUCAUUCUAUAUGUAAAGACAUUAAUGUUAGUUUAUAUCAAUCGAAAUCAUUUUUGAAAUCAGAAUAUAAAAUAUCUCUUUAUUAUAUUCAUGCGUUAUAUUGUCCUUUGCUCAUUCAAUUGAUCACUUGAUUAUUAUUUUAAAUAAAACAUCUCUUACCUUAACAAUCCAUUAUUCAAUUAUUUUUUGUCAAUAAAGUUAAUUUCAUUAC